AGACGCAGUGAACUGAAACAUCUAAGUAGCUGCAGGAAGAGAAAGAAAGAUCGAUUUCCUUAGUAGCGGCGAGCGAAGAGGAAAGAGCCCAAACCAAGUGAUUUAUCAUUUGGGGUUGUAGGACUGCGACGUGGUAGCGUGAGUGAUAGCAGAAUUAUCUGGGAAGGUAAGCCAGAGAGGGUGAGAGCCCCGUACGUGAAAUUGCAAGCGCGCCUAGCAGAAUCCUGAGUAGGCCGGGACACGAGGAAUCCCGGUUGAAACCGCGAGGACCAUCUCGCAAGGCUAAAUACUAAUUAGUGACCGAUAGUGAACCAGUACCGUGAGGGAAAGGUGAAAAGCACCCCGGGAGGGG
Molecule: ribosomal RNA, 352 nt
Filed under: Corethron hystrix
Lineage: Eukaryota; Bacillariophyta; Corethrophyceae; Corethrales; Corethraceae
Description: partial Bacterial large subunit ribosomal RNA
Rfam family: Bacterial large subunit ribosomal RNA
Source: RNAcentral